AACGAACGCUGGCGGCGUGCUUAACACAUGCAAGUCAACGGGGUUAUACGGAGAAAUUGGUUUCGGCUGAUGGAUUUGUAUAACUUAGUGGCGGACGGGUGAGGAACACGUAGGUAACCAAUCCUGAAGCGGGGGACAACUGCGGGAAACCGGAGCUAAUACCGCAUAAGACCACAGGCUGGGAGGCUGGUGGUAAAAGGAGCAAUUCACUUCAGGCUGGGCCUGCGGCCUAUCAGGUAGUUGGUGGGGUAAGAGCCUACCAAGCCAGAGACGGGUAGCCGGACUGAGAGGUUGAACGGCCACACUGGAACUGAGACACGGUCCAGACUCCUACGGGAGGCAGCAGUGGGGAAUUUUGCGCAAUGGGGGAAACCCUGACGCAGCGACGCCGCGUGGAGGAUGAAGGUUUUCGGAUUGUAAACUUCUUUUGUAGGGGAAAAUAGUGAUGGUACCCUACGAAUAAGCCACGGCUAACUCUGUG
RNAcentral lists this ribosomal RNA (481 nucleotides) under uncultured bacterium. RNAcentral's name for it is "bacterial SSU rRNA". It matches the Rfam family "Bacterial small subunit ribosomal RNA", at positions 29 to 507 of the family's 1533-position model. The record is from RNAcentral.